This is a ribosomal RNA of Cricetulus griseus (Chinese hamster), 130 nucleotides long. Lineage: Eukaryota; Metazoa; Chordata; Mammalia; Rodentia; Cricetidae. The record is from Ensembl.
CCACAUCCACACCACCCUAAAUGCACUUGAUCUCCUCUGGUCUAAGUAAGGGUCUAAGUAGGGUCGGGCCUGGUUAGUACUGGGAAGGGACAUGGAGCAUCUAUAGACAGUACUCAAGAAGUUAUAUGGU